This 461-nucleotide ribosomal RNA is filed under the name uncultured Gammaproteobacteria bacterium. RNAcentral's name for it is "bacterial SSU rRNA". It matches the Rfam family "Bacterial small subunit ribosomal RNA", at positions 46 to 494 of the family's 1533-position model. Lineage: Bacteria; Pseudomonadati; Pseudomonadota; Gammaproteobacteria. The record is from RNAcentral.
GCCUAACACAUGCAAGUCGAGCGGUAACAUUUCAAAAGCUUGCUUUUGAAGAUGACGAGCGGCGGACGGGUGAGUAAUGCCUGGGAACAUGCCUUGGUGUGGGGGAUAACUAUUGGAAACGAUAGCUAAUACCGCAUAACGUCUACGGACCAAAGAGGGGGCUCUUCGGACCUCUCGCGCCAAGAUUGGCCCAGGUGGGAUUAGCUAGUAGGUGGGGUAACGGCUCACCUAGGCGACGAUCCCUAGCUGGUCUGAGAGGAUGAUCAGCCACACUGGAACUGAGACACGGUCCAGACUCCUACGGGAGGCAGCAGUGGGGAAUAUUGCACAAUGGGGGAAACCCUGAUGCAGCCAUGCCGCGUGUGUGAAGAAGGCCUUCGGGUUGUAAAGCACUUUCAGUCGUGAGGAAGGCAGUGUAGUUAAUAGCUGCAUUGUUGGGCGUUAGCGACAGAAGAAGCACC